Molecule: ribosomal RNA, 497 nt
Filed under: uncultured bacterium
Lineage: Bacteria
Description: partial 16S ribosomal RNA
Rfam family: Bacterial small subunit ribosomal RNA
Source: RNAcentral
GAUGAACGCUGGCGGCGUGCCUAAUACAUGCAAGUCGAGCGAACGGACGAGAAGCUUGCUUCUCUGAUGUUAUCGGCGGACGGGUGAUUAACACGUGGAUAACCUACCUAUAAGACUGGGAUAACUUCGGGAAACCGUAGCUAAUACCGGAUAAUAUUUUGAACCUCAUGGUUCAAAAGUGAAAGACGGUCUUGCUUUCACUUAUAGAUUGAUCCGCGCUGCAUUAGCUAGUUGGUAAGGUAACGGCUUACCAAGGCAACGAUGCAUAGCCGACCUGAGAGGGUGAUCGGCCACACGGGAACUGAGAAACGGUCCAGACACCUACAGGAGGCAGCAGUAGGGAAUCUUCCGCAAUGGGCGAAAGCCGGACGGAGCAAAGCCGCGUGAGGGAUGAAGGUCUUAGGAUCGUAAAACGCUGUUAUUAGGGAAGAACAUAUGUGUAAGUAACUGUGAACAUAUUGACGGUACCUAAUCAGAAAGCCACGGCUAACUACGUG